Molecule: long non-coding RNA, 348 nt
Filed under: Elaeis guineensis (African oil palm)
Lineage: Eukaryota; Viridiplantae; Streptophyta; Magnoliopsida; Arecales; Arecaceae
Description: long non-coding RNA (EGUI_LNC018412)
Source: RNAcentral
AGCCAUUCAUGGUGUUUCCUGGAAUUCAUUGAAGUUACGCCCACCAUCUACCACCCACCACACGGCAAAGUGGAGAGUAGCAGGGGGAAGCCAAUCGCAAUUAACCCUGCUCUAGCCGCCAUGUGCUGUGAGAAAAGCUCACGCGCCGCGCGCGGGCGCUGCCGCGGAGCACGCCGCAUGACCUGCGCGCUCCAAGGGCGGACACGCGAGCCGACCAUAUCAAAUGCUACGCGCUUCCUGACCGCUCGUUGAGUAAAAAGUCUACUACAUCCUUUUGGGCGGCAAGCGGUCCAUCGAUCCAAGUAGCGUUGCCAAUUGCCGACCUCCACUAAGAAAAGAUUGAGCUAC